Molecule: ribosomal RNA, 253 nt
Filed under: uncultured bacterium
Lineage: Bacteria
Description: partial 16S ribosomal RNA
Rfam family: Bacterial small subunit ribosomal RNA
Source: RNAcentral
UACGUAGGUGGCAAGCGUUGUCCGGAAUUAUUGGGCGUAAAGCGCGCGCAGGCGGUCCUUUAAGUCUGAUGUGAAAGCCCACGGCUCAACCGUGGAGGGUCAUUGGAAACUGGGGGACUUGAGUGCAGAAGAGGAAAGUGGAAUUCCAAGUGUAGCGGUGAAAUGCGCAGAUAUCAGGAAGAACACCCGUGGCGAAGGCGGCUCUCUGGAACGCAACUGACGCUGAGACGCGAAAGCGUGGGGAGCAAACAGG